RNAcentral lists this transfer RNA (79 nucleotides) under Pisolithus tinctorius. RNAcentral describes it as "tRNA-Glu". It matches the Rfam family "tRNA". Rfam says of the family: Transfer RNA (tRNA) molecules are approximately 80 nucleotides in length. RNAcentral also lists the same sequence under 2 other names. The record is from RNAcentral. Lineage: Eukaryota; Fungi; Basidiomycota; Agaricomycetes; Boletales; Pisolithaceae.
UCGGAUAUGGUGUAACGGCUAACAUUGCCGCCUCUCAUGUUCAACGCGGCAGCUCGGGGUUCGAUUCCCCGUAUCCGAG